AUACGGAGGAUGCGAGCGUUAUCCGGAUUUAUUGGGUUUAAAGGGUGCGUAGGUGGUGAUUUAAGUCAGCGGUGAAAGUUUGUGGCUCAACCAUAAAAUUGCCGUUGAAACUGGGUUACUUGAGUGUGUUUGAGGUAGGCGGAAUGCGUGGUGUAGCGGUGAAAUGCAUAGAUAUCACGCAGAACUCCGAUUGCGAAGGCAGCUUACUAAACCAUAACUGACACUGAAGCACGAAAGCGUGGGGAUCAAACAGGAUUAGAUACCCUGGUAGUCCACGCAGUAAACGAUGAUUACUAGAAGUUUGCGAUACAAUGUAAGCUCUACAGCGAAAGCGUUAAGUAAUCCACCUGGGGAGUACGCCGGCAACGGUGAAACUCAAAGGAAUUGACGGGGGCCCGCACAAGCGGAGGAACAUGUGGUUUAAUUCGAUGAUACGCGAGGAACCUUACCCGGGUUUGAACGUAGUCUGACCGGAGUGGAAACACUCUUUCUAGCAAUAGCAGAUUACGAGGUGCUGCAUGGUUGUCGUCAGCUCGUGCCGUGAGGUGUCGGCUUAAGUGCCAUAACGAGCGCAACCCUUAUCACUAGUUACUAACAGGUGAAGCUGAGGACUCUGGUGAGACUGCCAGCGUAAGCUGUGAGGAAGGUGGGGAUGACGUCAAAUCAGCACGGCCCUUACAUCCGGGGCGACACACGUGUUACAAUGGCAUGGACAAAGGGCAGCUACCUGGUGACAGGAUGCUAAUCUCCAAACCAUGUCUCAGUUCGGAUCGGAGUCUGCAACUCGACUCCGUGAAGCUGGAUUCGCUAGUAAUCGCGCAUCAGCCAUGGCGCGGUGAAUACGUUCCCGGGCCUUGUACACACCGCCCGUCAAGCCAUGGGAGCCGGGGGUACCUGAAGUCCGUAACCGCAAGGAUCGGCCUAGGGUAAAACUGGUGACUGGGGCU
This 947-nucleotide ribosomal RNA is filed under the name uncultured bacterium. RNAcentral describes it as "bacterial SSU rRNA". It matches the Rfam family "Bacterial small subunit ribosomal RNA", at positions 523 to 1482 of the family's 1533-position model. The record is from RNAcentral.